UUUAUGGGGGAAACAUUACAGGCAAAUUUAAAUGUCUGGUGGGAAUCCACAUAGUUAAACUUACAUUGCAAGAGAUCAGGAAUGAAAAGCAUAGCGAGGCAGGCAACUAACACGGCAACUUUUGAAAUAUUGCUUUGGUCAUCUCCUAGCCUGAGUUCUGGAUUCUCUGGCUGGUUGGGCUGUGGGCCAUGGUGGAUUGGGGGCCUCCAUGGGGCUCGUGCCAGCAUGGGGGAGGGUUGGUACGAUGCUUGCUGGGCACAGGGUGGGAUGGAGGCACCAAGAGAAGUCUGAAGGAGGAAGGUGUGCUUUGAUUUGCAAAACAUUUGUGGUUUGAGCCUACGCUUGGGGCCUGCUGCGCUGCUGAGGGAAGAUGGGAGCUCUGAGAGUAAUAAAAGGACUACGUGAAGGGAGCGAGCCACCCUGUGAAAUUGCUUCAAGCUGUAAAAUACACUCAAGGAGUCGUUCCUGCUGCGAAGAGGGGGACAGGAAAAUUGGCCUCAGAGAUGCUUAUUUGAAUCCCUGGCCAGAGUGUGGCACAAAGAAACCACACAGAGUUUACUCUUCUCUUUUAAAACACCACAGUCUGCCUCACUCCUUGACUCACCUUGUAGAAGGAAGAGCCAUCCAUAACUACCUCCUGUGUAGAGCCUGGUGGUUUUGGUUACAGCAAGACACCUACCAGAGCACACCUGUGCAAAGGCUGCAGUUUCUGGGCUCUCAAAUCACCAUGAGACAGGUUUCGAGCUUUUUAGCCCUGUUGGGACUGGGGUGGCUCUUGCCAUGUGGCGCCAAGCACGUUCCCAAGGAACCUGAGCCAAAAAGCAAGGCCCCUGCAGGAUCACAGCGGCUGGACAGAAGUAUUCUGGAUCAGACUUAGGCAAAAUUACAGACCAAAGCCCCAUUGCAUGACCUUAAAUCAUCCUUGCCAGCUAUCCAACUAACCUUGGCUGCAAAUCACCAUCUCAGUGGCUGUCUGCAUGGUCAUACAACUCCCAGUUACCAGCACUGGGAGCAGAGCCCAUGAGACGGAAGACAGAAAUGGGUCGUUCCUCAGAAACCACACUCAGUUCACUCAAGAUGCACUCGCUCCUAACUCUUCUUAUGUUUUCUAGGCAAAUCUCCCACCUGAACAGCAUCUGUGAGCAGUGGUCCUUGCUGUGCCUGACAUGAAACCAGGCCUUUGGGAAGUAACAAAAUGUAUGUGCCUGAUCAGGCCAGGCAUUGAUCAGGAGAUCAAGGGGCACAAAGUUCUGCCAGAAUUCAAGCCUGGGUUAAAAUACCACUCACUGCAAUGGGAAGGAAUCUCAGCAAGUCCAGAUGCUUUGCCUAGUGUCAGACCUGGAAAAAAAGACCAUCUUUCUUUCCUUUUGUAUUUCAUAUAUGAUACUGUGAGCAUAAAAUAUCUAGUAAUUAACCCUCAUACAAUUUCUCAGGUUAAACCAAUGAAGUUUUGAUAACAUUUGGCACUUGGCAAUAAUACAGCCAGGUUAAGGUAUUUAAGCAUAAAUAUAAACAAUAAUUGAAAAAAAGGAAAUAAAUAAGUCUUUUAAAAAUGAAGACUUUUUUUU
This 1568-nucleotide long non-coding RNA is filed under the name Anser brachyrhynchus (Pink-footed goose). RNAcentral describes it as "lncRNA (ENSABRG00000004052.1)". Lineage: Eukaryota; Metazoa; Chordata; Aves; Anseriformes; Anatidae. The record is from RNAcentral.